GGACGUGGCUCAAGUGGUAGCGCGCUCUCCUGACAUGCGCGGGGCGCUGGGUUCGAUCCUCAGCACCA
This 68-nucleotide transfer RNA is filed under the name Marmota monax (woodchuck). Its description in RNAcentral is "tRNA.Val". Lineage: Eukaryota; Metazoa; Chordata; Mammalia; Rodentia; Sciuridae. The record is from RNAcentral.